This 552-nucleotide ribosomal RNA is filed under the name uncultured archaeon. RNAcentral's name for it is "bacterial SSU rRNA". It matches the Rfam family "Archaeal small subunit ribosomal RNA", at positions 1 to 558 of the family's 1478-position model. The record is from RNAcentral.
AUUUCCGGUUGAUCCUGCCGGACCUGACUGCUAUCUGAUUGGUACUAAGCCAUGCGAGUCGUUGUACAAUACAAGGCGGACUGCUCAGUAACACGUAGUUAACUUAACCUAUGGAUGGGAAUAACCUCGGGAAACUGAGAAUAAUACCCAAUGGGCCACAGUGCCUGGAAUGGCCUGUGGUUGAAAUGAUUUAUCGCCGUAGGAUAGGACUGCGGCCUAUCAGCUUGUUGGUGAGGUAAUGGCCCACCAAGGCUAUAACAGGUACGGGCUCUGAGAGGAGGGGCCCGGAGAUGGGUACUGAGACACGGACCCAGGCCCUAUGGGGCGCAGCAGGCGAGAAACCUUUGCAAUGUGCGAAAGCACGACAAGGUUAAUCCGAGUGUCUCCUGCUAAAGGAGUCUUUUGUCAGUUGUAGAAUCACUGGUGAAUAAGGGGUGGGCAAGUUCUGGUGUCAGCCGCCGCGGUAAAACCAGCACCUCGAGUGGUCAGGAGGUUUAUUGGGCCUANAGCAUCCGUAGCCGGUUGCAUAAGUUCUCGGUUAAAUCUAUGCGC